CUCGCCAUUCUUACCACCUGGCACAUUUGGCAGCACCGCAAUGGCUGCCUAUUCGAUGGCACCUCUCCGGAUGUUGGCUGUGUUGUGGGCAUGAUACGCGAUGAGGAACGGUCGUGGGCUCGCGCUGGCGCUGCAGGGAUGUCCCUGCUCCUACCCGAGACGUAG
This 165-nucleotide ribosomal RNA is filed under the name Triticum aestivum (bread wheat). RNAcentral describes it as "partial small subunit ribosomal RNA". The record is from RNAcentral. Lineage: Eukaryota; Viridiplantae; Streptophyta; Magnoliopsida; Poales; Poaceae.